AUGAACUUAUUAAGUUAUAUUAAUACCAUAAUCGGGUGUUCAAGUAAUUACCAUUCAAGUCUCAAGCUUCCGGCAACCACUUAUCCCAAGGUAGGUGGGAAAUUAAUUCCGGAUGGAGCAAUAAUAUUAAAUUUAAAAAUUUUCUUUCUAGGCUUCGGCGUAUGUAGAUUCGGCAAAUGUUUCCACAUCUCGGAUCCUAGGUUCACACUCUAG
Molecule: non-coding RNA, 213 nt
Organism: Vicia faba (fava bean)
Lineage: Eukaryota; Viridiplantae; Streptophyta; Magnoliopsida; Fabales; Fabaceae
Source: the annotation of a GenBank genome assembly